Molecule: long non-coding RNA, 2899 nt
Organism: Stomoxys calcitrans (stable fly)
Lineage: Eukaryota; Metazoa; Arthropoda; Insecta; Diptera; Muscidae
Exons: 3
Source: RefSeq, a predicted model, not a curated record
ACUCUUCUGAUCUUGUGGCUGCUACACAUGAUAACGCAAAUAAAAACCAGAAUGUCAAUUUGACAGUGUACAAAAGUUUGACAGCCUAGUGCAAAUUGGCGCCACCAUCCCCACAGGGUUAUAUCCAUGACAUAAUUACUGGGUGGUGUACCGUAAACAGCUGAGUACAAUUUUUUCUCACGAAGUGCGAGUUUUGGUUGUGUGUGUAUUAUAGUUAAGAACCAUAGCACACACAAACAACGAAAAAUGGCGCGAACUAGUUACAUACACAAAAUCAGAGUUGCACUAAUCACUGAUUUUGACAGAUAGUGCACUCAUUAUUUUGUUGAUGGGCAACUCCCACUACCUGCAAAUUAAUAUAUCUUGCUUUUUAUCACAGAUCCUUGGUACAAUUAGAAAGUAACGUCAUAAGCCCAGCUGAACAAGUAUUCCAAUUUCAGAGUUCUAUCCAAAUCUCACUGGAAAAUCAAAUGCUUUGUUUGGAUUUUAAAGCUUUUUUACAUUUUGUUUAUUUUUUCACAUUUUUAUCGUUUGAAUUUAUAAUUUACACGUUUAUAAUCAUAACUCUUUUGAUCUUGUGGCUGCUAUACAUGAUAAUGCAAAUAAAAACUACAAUGUCAAUUUGACAGUGUACAGAAGUUUGACAACCUAGUGGAAAUUUGCGCAACCAUCCCCUCAGGGUUAUACCAUUGAUUUCGUUGUUAUUGGGCUUAUGACUUUACCUUCUAAUUUUACCAAGCACAGAUCUGUUGUAAAAAUAAUCCUUUUAUGCAAAUGCCCCUUACUUUUAACCUUGUCUAUAUACAACUCUGUUAAGCAUCAUGAUUAGCGUGGGUAGGAUUGGAGAAUUUUUUUUGUUUUUUUUUUUGCUGCAACUCCCGCUGGAGGACCGGGACGUCCCAUGAUCUGACUACUCCUGAUCAACAGAAUAAUGAAAACUGAACUCCUGAUCAGCGGGUUACUGAAUAUUGGAAAUGUUCAUGAAAUUUAAGUUAACCAAGGCCAGACCAAAAGCGGUAUCGGAUUGUGCAUCGGUUGUAGGCUUUACUUGUAGAAAUAUCGACAGAUGGAUCUACGCAGUGUUAACAAAACAAUACUCCAUUUAGCGAUUGGGUGUAUUGGUCCCCAAUGGAAGCUUGUCGAAGAUCGCUCACUAACUACCCUGCAAGUAUGUGGUUGCAAAACAACUUCCUACUGGAUAAAAUAAUGAAAUUGUGGAUGACUGACAUCCCAAAGUCUGACUACUGAUAAACGUCCCACUGAAAACUGAAUGUAGAAAAUGUUCCCAAACUCCUGAUCAACGGGUUACUGAAUAUUGGAAAUGUUCAUGAAGCUUAUGUUAACCAAGGCCAGACUAAAAGGUGCGUUUUUCUAAAAAAGAAGACAUAUGUAAUUAGUGUCAGACACGGAUUUAUUUGCAUUUAAUUCAUGUAGAAGCAAACUCUUCUAGAAGAAUUUUCCUCGUUCCUGUCUGAAAAUGUGGACUAGACAUUCCAUAUGCUAAUGAAAAUGGUUAAAUUGAAAAAGCGGUGUCUGAAGCGUUACAACUUAAGAAAUAAAUAUGAUGAUACUGUGCAGAGGUACAGAACAUGGUAAAAUGUGGCCAUGAAGUAAACAACAUUGAAAAGCAAUUUGGUCCGAGAUCAAUAAUUGAUUUGUAGUUGAUUGCUUUAGGAAUAUGCCCUUUUGAUCAAAUUAUUAAAAAUUAUGUACUCACAUGUAUUAUAAUUCGAAUGUAUUGAAAAAUGGAUUACAGCAAUGCUGUGGAAUGUGCAUCGGAUGUAGCCUUAACUUAUGGAAAUAUCAACAGAUGGAUCUGCGCAGUUUUAACACAAAACCCCACCUACUUCUAGCACUGAGAAGAUAUUAAUUGUUUGGCCCAUUCUACAUUUGGGCUUUCUUAAUGCUUUGACAAGGACGUCGGAUAUUUUGAAAGAUUUACAUAUUUGUGGAACCAGUCUUCCAACUGUAAAAAUAAUAUUGUCUUUGUUGUUGUAGCUGUGUGUUGUACACAGAUGCGGCAGCCUUUGGCAAUGAAGGACCCCAUCGUGUCAAUCCGGUACGUACAACCGGCUGCCAUGGGAUAUUGUUGUUUAAGGCCUUUGAACGGCCCUCGGAACUUUGAGGCCUAAAAAAAGGAAGACUGAAUUAAUUCCCAGCCUUAAAGAAAAUAAGAUUACCCAAGUUCAUUGACCAUCUCAAAAAUUGUACUAAGCAUUUUAUAUUUUAUGACAAAAAAUUAAUAAAACAACCUUUUGUCAGCAUGCAUGUCAUGCAUGUAAAUAAAAAUUAAUGUUAACUCUAGUUAUUGAAAAUAAGUACGGACUAAGAUCGGACAAUCCCGAUUUUCUGAGGCCCAUUGGAUCAAUUGCUAAAGACUUUUUUAAUAAAAACUGUUUCAAACAGAAAUAAAAUAGUAUAUUUAAAUUAAAAGUCUUGGAAAGUUUGAAAAUUUCAAUUCACUGUUAAUUCAUCCAUAAAAAGAUGAUUAAAAAUUUUCAAUUAAUUUUUUAAUCAAUACUUUUAAUUGUCGAAAUUUUAAUUUCAAUCGCAAAUCAUACACGUAACUCAGGCGUUACAUGCUGUCGAAGCAGUAACUAUUGGGCUGUAACCGCAAAGCCCAUUCAAAUCACUCUCACUUAUAGCGAGAAGUUCAGCACUACAAAGGGAAUCUUAAGAUCAAGCAUGUCUAGAUCGUAUUUACGAAGAACAAUCCCAUGGCAGCCGGUUGUACGUACCGGAUUGACACGGUGAUUCCUUCAUCGGCAAGAGUUGUCGCCUCAGUGUACAAAACACUUCUACAACAACAACUACUACCGAGAGAGAGCACAGUCCUUGGAGAACUCGGUACUGAAGUUUCAAUGAAUUACAAGUGUAAUAAAAUUUAAAAAUUGUUUAA